UCCAAUGUGGUGUAGUGGCUAACAUUGCUGUCUUUCAUUAACGCAACCAUUAAGAUUACACAGCAGCCCGGGGUUCGAUUCCCCGCAUUGGAA
Rhodocollybia butyracea is the source of this 93-nucleotide non-coding RNA. The record is from the annotation of a GenBank genome assembly. NCBI's taxonomy places the organism in Eukaryota, Fungi, Basidiomycota, Agaricomycetes, Agaricales, Omphalotaceae.